This 465-nucleotide ribosomal RNA is filed under the name uncultured Klebsiella sp. RNAcentral describes it as "bacterial SSU rRNA". It matches the Rfam family "Bacterial small subunit ribosomal RNA", at positions 338 to 795 of the family's 1533-position model. Lineage: Bacteria; Pseudomonadati; Pseudomonadota; Gammaproteobacteria; Enterobacterales; Enterobacteriaceae. The record is from RNAcentral.
CCUACGGGAGGCUGCAGUGGGGAAUAUUGCACAAUGGGCGCAAGCCUGAUGCAGCCAUGCCGCGUGUGUGAAGAAGGCCUUCGGGUUGUAAAGCACUUUCGGCGGGGAGGAAGGCGGUGAGGUUAAUAACCUCAUCGAUCGACGUUACCCGCAGAAGAAGCACCGGCUAACUCCGUGCCAGCAGCCGCGGUAAUACGGAGGGUGCAAGCGUUAAUCGGAAUUACUGGGCGUAAAGCGCACGCAGGCGGUCUGUCAAGUCGGAUGUGAAAUCCCCGGGCUCAACCUGGGAACUGCAUUCGAAACUGGCAGGCUAGAGUCUUGUAGAGGGGGGUAGAAUUCCAGGUGUAGCGGUGAAAUGCGUAGAGAUCUGGAGGAAUACCGGUGGCGAAGGCGGCCCCCUGGACAAAGACUGACGCUCAGGUGCGAAAGCGUGGGGAGCAAACAGGAUUAGAUACCCCGGUAGUC